Molecule: ribosomal RNA, 492 nt
Filed under: uncultured bacterium
Lineage: Bacteria
Description: partial 16S ribosomal RNA
Rfam family: Bacterial small subunit ribosomal RNA
Source: RNAcentral
AGUGAACGCUGGCGGUAGGCCUAACACAUGCAAGUCGAACGGCAGCACAGUAAGAGCUUGCUCUUACGGGUGGCGAGUGGCGGACGGGUGAGGAAUACAUCGGAAUCUACUUUUUCGUGGGGGAUAACGUAGGGAAACUUACGCUAAUACCGCAUACGACCUACGGGUGAAAGCAGGGGAUCUUCGGACCUUGCGCGAUUGAAUGAGCCGAUGUCGGAUUAGCUAGUUGGCAGGGUAAAGGCCCACCAAGGCGACGAGCCGUAGCUGGUCUGAGAGGAUGAUCGGCCAAACUGGAACGGAGACACGGUCGAGACUCCUACGGGAGGAAGCAGUAGGGAAUGUUGCGGAAUGGGGGAAAGCCGGACGGAGCAACGCAGCGUGAGUGAUGAAGGUCUUCGGAUAGUAAAACUAUGUUAUUAGGGAAGAACAAAUGUGUAAGUAACUAUGCACGUCUUGACGGUACAUAAUCAGAAAGCCAAGGCUAACUACGUG